UCCGGUUGAUCCUGCCAGAGGUCACUGCUAUCGGGGUUCGAUUAAGCCAUGCGAGUCGAGAGGGUUCGGCCCUCGGCGUACUGCUCAGUAACACGUGGAUAACCUGCCCUAAGGAAGGGGAUAACCUCGGGAAACUGAGGAUAAUACCCUAUAGGAUACCGAUGCUGGAAUGCCCGGUAUCCCAAAGCUCCGGCGCCUUAGGAUGGAUCUGCGGCCGAUUAGGUCGUUGUUGGGGUAACGGCCCAACAAGCCGAUAAUCGGUACGGGUUGUGGGAGCAAGAGCCCGGAGUUAGAUUCUGAGACACGAAUCCAGGCCCUACGGGGCGCAGCAGGCGCGAAAACUUUACAAUGCGGGCAACCGUGAUAAGGGAACCUCGAGUGCCUGUACAUGCAGGCUGUCUGGGUGUCUAAAACACACCCAAAGAAAGGGCCGGGCAAGACCGGUGCCAGCCGCCGCGGUAAUACCGGCGGCUCGAGUGGUGGCCACUUUUAUUGGGCUUAAAGCGUUCGUAGCUGGGUUGUUAAGUCUCUUGGGAAAUCUGGCAGCUUAACUGUCAGGCGUCUAAGAGAUACUGGCAAUCUAGGGACCGGGAGAGGUGAGGGGUACUUCGGGGGGUAGGAAGUGAAAUCCUGUAAUCCUCGAGGGACCACCUGUGGCGAAGGCGCCUCACCAGAACGGCUUCGACAGUGAGGGACGAAAGCUGGGGGAGCAAACCGGAUUAGAUACCCGGGUAGUCCCAGCCGUAAACGAUGCGCGUUAGGUGUGUCGAUGACCACGAGUCAU
Molecule: ribosomal RNA, 784 nt
Filed under: unidentified archaeon
Lineage: Archaea
Description: bacterial SSU rRNA
Rfam family: Archaeal small subunit ribosomal RNA
Source: RNAcentral